This 484-nucleotide ribosomal RNA is filed under the name uncultured bacterium. RNAcentral describes it as "partial 16S ribosomal RNA". It matches the Rfam family "Bacterial small subunit ribosomal RNA", at positions 28 to 523 of the family's 1533-position model. The record is from RNAcentral.
GACGAACGCUGGCGGCGUGCUUAACACAUGCAAGUCGAACGAUGAAGCCGGAGCUUGCUCUGGCGAAUUAGUGACGAACGGGUGAGUAACACGUGAGCAAUCUGCCCUUGACGCUGGGACAACGGCGGGCAACUGUAGCCAAUACCGGAUACGACACCUUGGGGCUUCCCAGGGUGUGGCAAGAAUUUGGGGCAAGGAUGAGCUCGGGGCCUAUAGGCUAGUUGGUGAGGGAAUGGCUCACCAAGGCGACGACGGGUAGCCGGCCUGAGGAGGUGGACCGGCCACAAGGGAACUGAGGCACGGUCCAGACUGCUACGGGAGGCAGCAGGGGGAAAUAUUGCACAAUGGGCGCAAGUCUGAUGCAGCGACGCCGCGUGAGGAAUGACGGCUUUCGGGUUGUAAACCUCUUUCAGCACCGACGAAGCGCAAGUGACGGUAGGUGCAGAAGAAGGACCGGCCAACUACGUGCCAGCCGCCGCCGUAA